This 550-nucleotide ribosomal RNA is filed under the name Penicillium sp. ASR-178. RNAcentral describes it as "eukaryotic LSU rRNA". The stretch from base 210 to 363 matches the Rfam family "5.8S ribosomal RNA". The record is from RNAcentral. Lineage: Eukaryota; Fungi; Ascomycota; Eurotiomycetes; Eurotiales; Aspergillaceae.
UUUCCGUAGGGAACCUGCGGAAGGAUCAUUACCGAGUGCGGGCCCUCGUGGCCCAACUUCCCACCCUUGUCUCUCUACACCUGUUGCUUUGGCGGGCCCACUGGGGCUCCCUGGUCGCCGGGGGACGCCUGUCCCCGGGCCCGCGCCCGCCGAAGCGCUUCGUGAACCCUGAUGAAGAAGGGCUGUCUGAGUACUAUGAAAAUUGUCAAAACUUUCAACAAUGGAUCUCUUGGUUCCGGCAUCGAUGAAGAACGCAGCGAAAUGCGAUAAGUAAUGUGAAUUGCAGAAUUCCGUGAAUCAUCGAAUCUUUGAACGCACAUUGCGCCCCCUGGCAUUCCGGGGGGCAUGCCUGUCCGAGCGUCAUUUCUGCCCUCAAGCACGGCUUGUGUGUUGGGUGUGGUCCCCCCGGGGACCUGCCCGAAAGGCAGCGGCGACGUCCGUCUGGUCCUCGAGCGUAUGGGGCUCUGUCACUCGCUCGGGAGGGACCUGCGGGGGUUGGUCACCACCACAUUUUCUAUUAUGGUUGACCUCGGAUCAGUAGAUUACCCGU